Manis pentadactyla (Chinese pangolin) is the source of this 400-nucleotide long non-coding RNA. RefSeq lists it as uncharacterized. The transcript is spliced from 3 exons. NCBI's taxonomy places the organism in Eukaryota, Metazoa, Chordata, Mammalia, Pholidota, Manidae. The record is from RefSeq and is a predicted model, not a curated record.
CCCCUUUCCUGAUUACAAGAAGGUGCCAAGUGUAAUCAACCCAGUCACCCUCAUCACUGUUCUCUUCUUCCAGCCAGAGAAAUUCAGACCUGAAGAAGGCUCACGCCCCAGCCUAGUGAGUCCAGGGGCCCUAUUUCCAGCCUGAUGUCUCACCUUCCCCAGCGUGGACCCCGCCUCAUGAGAUCCCCCCCGGAAGCUCCACAGUCGCUCGUAGACAUGGGCACCAUCAGACCUCAGCGUCCGGAAUCCUGGGCCUACAUGUGCUGCUGGCAGUAGGAGCACCCAAGAUGAAGGAGGAAACCCUAUACACGUUCAGCAGCCCUUGGCCACCACAAAUUUGCUUUCUGUUUCUGUGGAUUUACCUGAUCUGGAUAUUUCCUAUAAAUGGAACCAAACAAUA